GAUGAACGCUAGCGGCAGGCCUAAUACAUGCAAGUCGAGGGGUAUGGGUUGCUUGCAACCCAGAGACCGGCGCACGGGUGCGUAACGCGUAUGCAAUCUACCUUAAUCAGGGGGAUAGCCCGGAGAAAUCCGGAUUAACACCGCAUAACAUUGAGUUGUGGCAUCACAGUUCAAUCAAAUAUUUAUAGGAUUACGAUGAGCAUGCGUGACAUUAGUUAGUUGGUGAGGUAACGGCUCACCAAGACCACGAUGUCUAGGGGAUCUGAGAGGAUGACCCCCCACACUGGUACUGAGACACGGACCAGACUCCUACGGGAGGCAGCAGUAAGGAAUAUUGGUCAAUGGGCGCAAGCCUGAACCAGCCAUGCCGCGUGCAGGAAGACGGCCCUAUGGGUUGUAAACUGCUUUUGUACCGGAAUAAACCUUCUCUUGCGAGAGAAGCUGAACGUACGGUAAGAAUAAGGAUCGGCUAACUCCGUG
This 480-nucleotide ribosomal RNA is filed under the name uncultured bacterium. RNAcentral describes it as "partial 16S ribosomal RNA". It matches the Rfam family "Bacterial small subunit ribosomal RNA", at positions 28 to 507 of the family's 1533-position model. The record is from RNAcentral.